Macaca mulatta (Rhesus monkey) is the source of this 1380-nucleotide non-coding RNA. The record is from RefSeq and is a predicted model, not a curated record. NCBI's taxonomy places the organism in Eukaryota, Metazoa, Chordata, Mammalia, Primates, Cercopithecidae.
UCCGAAUAUCUGAUUCUACUCAUUUUCAAAACUGUGUCACCAAAUCCUGUUCAGUUCCUAAAGCCCCACCCUCAGAUUCCCAUGUGCCUGUCUUCAAACAUGGUUGGCAUCUGUUGAGUCAAAGGAGCCAGGAGGUGGAGACUGAGAAGAUUUAGAAGCUCUGAUGAAGUGGAUGGAGAAUGGAACCAACUGAGGUUAUGUAGAAUUGGCUCCUGAGGGCCAGAUAACAUCAGGAAUCACGUGCUGGUGAUGGAGGAGCCAGAUAGGAUGGUAAUUUCCCAUGAAAUCUGAGUGGGAGAAGAUCAGGAGAAGGAAACACUAAAGAUAGAGACAGAAGGCAGAAACUUGAUGGAGCCAGGUCAUGGAGUAGGCAGGAGAUGGGAGCAAAGGUAAAAUACAGGUGGAGUUUGCAACACCAGGGCUCCUUCUGCGUUGGAAAGGGUUGACCAUCAAAAGGAAAUCUGUGCCAUUUACCCAGUGGAGAAAUAAAUCUUCCUUUACUCACUUUUGCCCUGGCUCCUAUGUAAGAAGUCCAAAUGAACCCUGUUUCAUCUUAUUUCAUCUUUGGAAUUCCAGGAUUCUAUUUGGAAUUAUGACUCUGACUGCCUCUGGAACGUGUUGCAUCAGGAAAACUCACCAAGACUCAAACCAAGACAGAGAAGAAAAUGAAUAUGGAAAGAUGAGGAUGUGGCCUAAAUGAGAAAUCCUGCCCGACACACGAAAGAAUGCAGCAUUUCCUGGAGCGUGGGCUGCUCAGGUCUGGCUCUCUAGGAUGGACUUGAGUAAACCUGGUAAAAGAUGCUUAUGCUGUUACAGAAUGAGAAAACUCGGCAACAUCAUCCAUGCCCAGAGGUCCUAACGUUCAGCAAAGCCCCACCAUGAGUUAGUUGGAACAUACAAAAAAUGCAUCUUACAAAAAUACCUCCCCACCAAGAAAAACAGAAGAUACUAGUUGGGAAGAAAGGAAAGUGAGAUCUGUCUCAUGACAUUAGAAACAGAUGAUUGCUCAAUAUCUUUAUUCUGAAAGCCAUGGCUUCUAAAUUUUUUUAAAAACUGUAAGCUACAAUUGUUUUUCCUGGGCCCUGCUGGAAGUCACAGGGUAAAUAAGGCACAGCCGUCCUUCCCUUUGCUGGUGGCCCUCUCGGAUGGUGACAUGUCGUAGCAGCAGUGGUGCCUCUGAACAAAAAUAAUGAGAGAAACAUCUGUCUCCUGCUACGCUCUUUUCCAGGCAAAUGGCACUUAAGAUUCUUAUUUUAGACUUGUAAGUGCUCCCACAAAAAAGCAGCUUCGGUGUUAACCACAUCUCCUUCUUUCUUUGAAUCUGUGGAUCACUUUUUCCUUUGCUUGUAUUUUAAGACAGUUUAAAAACAAAGAUGACAA